ACAAAACUGGAGGCAGUUCCCCCUUUCUAGGAUCUCCGUUCAUCUCCUGAGGCCGCACAUCUGCACACACCAUCCUCACUGGGCAGCUACUACUUCGUGACACAAAGUGCCAGGCACCGCACUUGACGCUUUACCCACGCUGUUUCCAUUGGUUUUGCACAAAAGCUCUACGAGGGCUGCUGUGGGGACCAAUAUGAGCUGAGAGCUCUGCCAGGCACCCUACAUGAUAUACCUGGAAGGGAGCGUCCUUCUGCGGCCUGAACCUGAAGCUCUUCAGAGGGACCCAUGCUGGGCUGUGAAGGAAGUGACUCACCUUGGAGGAGCAAGGGCAGGUCACAUUCCAUGAUGAGAAAUUCUCACACCACCCUCCUUCAUAUUUGACUCACAUCAUGCAGCAUGGACUUCCACUCCAGUAAAUGAGUCCUCAUUUGUGGGCUUAAAAAUCUUUUUGUUACCCAGCUAUUUGCUUCUUGUCAACGCUACUUCCUGAAUAAAGGUCUUCCCUGAUAGUAGGAACAA
Molecule: long non-coding RNA, 519 nt
Organism: Pan troglodytes (chimpanzee)
Lineage: Eukaryota; Metazoa; Chordata; Mammalia; Primates; Hominidae
Exons: 2
Source: RefSeq, a predicted model, not a curated record